GCCAUGCAUGUCUAAGUAUAAGCAACUAUACUGUGAAACUGCGAAUGGCUCAUUAAAUCAGUUAUCGUUUAUUUGAUAGUACCUUUACCUGGAUAACCGUGGUAAUUCUAGAGCUAAUACAUGCUAAAAACCUCGACUUCGGAAGGGGUGUAUUUAUUAGAUAAAAAACCAAUGCCCUUCGGGGCUCCUUGGUGAAUCAUAAUAACUUAACGAAUCGCAUGGCCUUGCGCCGGCGAUGGUUCAUUCAAAUUUCUGCCCUAUCAACUUUCGAUGGUAAGAUAGAGGCUUACCAUGGUCUUAACGGGUAACGGGGAAUUAGGGUUCUAUUCCGGAGAGGGAGCCUGAGAAACGGCUACCACAUCCAAGGAAGGCAGCAGGCGCGCAAAUUACCCAAUCCCGACACGGGGAGGUAGUGACAAUAAAUACUGAUACGGGGCUCUUUUGGGUCUCGUAAUUGGAAUGAGUACAAUCUAAAUCCCUUAACGAGGAACAAUUGGAGGGCAAGUCUGGUGCCAGCAGCCGCGGUAAUUCCAGCUCCAAUAGCGUAUAUUAAAGUUGUUGCCGUUAAAAAGCUCGUAGUUGAACCUUGGGCCUGGCUGACCUGUCCUCCUAAUCGAGCGCACGGGUUCGGUCGGGCCUUUCCUUCUAGGGAACCCCAUGCCCUUCACUGGGUGUGGUGGGGAACUAG
RNAcentral lists this ribosomal RNA (688 nucleotides) under Chaetothyriales sp. A1020. RNAcentral's name for it is "SSU rRNA". It matches the Rfam family "Eukaryotic small subunit ribosomal RNA", at positions 48 to 742 of the family's 1831-position model. Lineage: Eukaryota; Fungi; Ascomycota; Eurotiomycetes; Chaetothyriales. The record is from RNAcentral.